UACUAACAAUUAGCAAGUGAUGAUAGACCAGACAGGGACAUCUGUAUUCUUUUUGAACAUGAUGAUUUGUCUGUGGGAAUCUCUCUGAUGCUUAGAUUUCUA
This 102-nucleotide microRNA precursor is filed under the name Helianthus annuus (common sunflower). RNAcentral's name for it is "miR3630 stem-loop (han-MIR3630)". The stretch from base 10 to 94 matches the Rfam family "Small nucleolar RNA R44/J54/Z268 family". Rfam says of the family: R44, J54 and Z268 are members of the C/D class of snoRNA which contain the C (UGAUGA) and D (CUGA) box motifs. Lineage: Eukaryota; Viridiplantae; Streptophyta; Magnoliopsida; Asterales; Asteraceae. The record is from miRBase by way of RNAcentral.